UACGUAGGGGGCGAGCGUUGUCCGGAAUUAUUGGGCGUAAAGGGUACGCAGGCGGUUCUUUAAGUCUGAUGUGAAAUCUCACAGCUUAACUGUGAGCGGUCAUUGGAAACUGAGGAACUUGAGUAUAGAAGAGAAGAGUGGAAUUCCAAGUGUAGCGGUGAAAUGCGUAGAUAUUUGGAGGAACACCGGUGGCGAAGGCGGCUUUCUGGCCAGUUACUGACGCUCAUGCGCGAAAGCUGGGGUAGCGAACCGGAUUAGAUACCCUUGUAGU
This 271-nucleotide ribosomal RNA is filed under the name uncultured prokaryote. RNAcentral's name for it is "partial 16S ribosomal RNA". It matches the Rfam family "Bacterial small subunit ribosomal RNA", at positions 524 to 794 of the family's 1533-position model. The record is from RNAcentral.